GAGGAAACCUCCGGGGGAGAUCGAGGAGCUCGCGACCUAUCAGCUAGUUGGCGGGGUAACGGCCCACCAAGGCAGCGACGGGUAGCUGGUCUGAGAGGAUGGCCAGCCACAUUGGGACUGCGACACGGCCCAGACUCCUACGGGAGGCAGCAGUGGGGAAUAUUGCGCAAUGGACGAAAGUCUGACGCAGCGACGCCGCGUGUGGGAUGAAGCCUUUCGGGGUGUAAACCACUGUUGCCCGGGACGAAACUCCCCUUUCGAGGGGAUUGACGGUACCGGGUGAGGAAGCACCGGCUAACUCUGUGCCAGCAGCCGCGGUAAUACAGAGGGUGCGAGCGUUGUCCGGAAUCACUGGGCGUAAAGGGCGCGUAGGUGGCGAGAUAAGCGUGUGGUGAAAGCCCGGGGCUCAACCCCGUGUCUGCCAUGCGGACUGUCUUGCUUGAGCGUAGUAAAGGCAGGUGGAAUUCCGGGUGUAGCGGUGGAAUGCGUAAAGAUCCGAA
Molecule: ribosomal RNA, 500 nt
Filed under: uncultured bacterium
Lineage: Bacteria
Description: bacterial SSU rRNA
Rfam family: Bacterial small subunit ribosomal RNA
Source: RNAcentral